GGUUACUGCUAUCGGUGUUCGCUUAAGCCAUGCGAGUCAUAUGUUCUUCGGAACAUGGCGUACUGCUCAGUAACACGUGGAUAACCUGCCCUUGGGUCCGGCAUAACCCCGGGAAACUGGGGAUAAUUCCGGAUAACGCACAUAUGCUGGAAUGCUUUAUGCGUCAAAUGGAUUCGUCCGCCCAAGGAUGGGUCUGCGGCCUAUCAGGUAGUAGUGGGUGUAAUGUACCUACUAGCCUACGACGGGUACGGGUUGUGAGAGCAAGAGCCCGGAGAUGGAUUCUGAGACAUGAAUCCAGGCCCUACGGGGCGCAGCAGGCGCGAAAACUUUACAAUGCGGGAAACCGUGAUAAGGGGACACCGAGUGCCAGCAUCAUAUGCUGGCUGUCCGGGUGUGUGAAUACAUCUGUAGCAAGGGCCGGGCAAGACCGGUGCCAGCCGCCGCGGUAACACCGGCGGCCCGAGUGGUGAUCGUGAUUAUUGGGUCUAAAGGGUCCGUAGCCGGUUUGGUCAGUCCUCCGGGAAAUCUGACGGCUUAACCGUUAGGCUUUCGGGGGAUACUGCCAGACUUGGAACCGGGAGAGGUAAGAGGUACUACAGGGGUAGGAGUGAAAUCUUGUAAUCCCUGUGGGACCACCUGUGGCGAAGGCGUCUUACCAGAACGGGUUCGACGUUGAGGGACGAAAGCUGGGGGCACGAACCGGAUUAGAUACCCGGGUAGUCCCAGCCGU
Molecule: ribosomal RNA, 730 nt
Filed under: uncultured archaeon
Lineage: Archaea
Description: bacterial SSU rRNA
Rfam family: Archaeal small subunit ribosomal RNA
Source: RNAcentral